Molecule: ribosomal RNA, 526 nt
Filed under: uncultured bacterium
Lineage: Bacteria
Description: bacterial SSU rRNA
Rfam family: Bacterial small subunit ribosomal RNA
Source: RNAcentral
AGAGUUUGAUCCUGGCUUAGAACGAACGCUGGCGGCGCGUCUUAAGCAUGCAAGUCGAACGGCAAGGAUGGUAGCUUGCUACCAUCCCUAGAGUGGCGGACUGGUGAGUAACACGUGGGUGACCUACCCUUGAGAUGGGGAUAGCCAUUAGAAAUAGUGGAUAAUACCGAAUACGCUCUACGGACUCUGGUUUGUAGAGGAAACAGGCUACGGCCUGGCUCGAGGAUGGGCCCGCGUCCCAUUAGCUAGUUGGUGAGGUAAGAGCCCACCAAGGCGACGAUGGGUAUCCGGCCUGAGAGGGUGUACGGACACAUUGGGACUGAGAUACGGCCCAAACUCCUACGGGAGGCAGCAGCUAAGAAUAUUCCGCAAUGGACGAAAGUCUGACGGAGCGACGCCGCGUGGAUGACGAAGGCCGAAAGGUUGUAAAAUCCUUUUGCUGAUGAAGAAUAAGCGUGGUAGGGAAUGACCGCGUGAUGACAUUAGUCGGUGAAUAAGCCCCGGCUAACUACGUGCCAGCCGCAGC